CCCGGAAGUGGUGGGAAAACUGCCAACCCACUGAAGAGAGAGACAGACCUUAAUACCAAAAGUGACAAUAAUUCAACACUGUUUUACUCAUAUACAUUGUAAUCUGAACUAUGAGUUUUGGCAAGUCUACACCUCUUGUGCUCAUGAACAUUAAACCUAGGGAACUGAUGAUUUUAUUUUACUUUAUUGUAGUAAGAAAACUCAACAUGAGGCUGACCCUCUUAGCAGAUCACAUGUGCGUUAGACCAUCAUUCUCUAUUGGCACAACAUUGUACAAGGGCUCUUUACAAUUCAUUCAUCACGCAUAACUGAAGUUUUAUACCUGUCCAUUAGUAACCCUCCUUUCACCUGUCCCCAGUCCCUGGCAACUAAAUGAGGCUUUAGGCAGAUAUCUAGAUACAAGCAACACAACAAUAUUUUUUUUCUCACACCUUGAAUAGACCCUCAGGAAACAGGACUCCAGAGCUGCUACAGAAACUGACAAGGAUGAUAGGAUGAGUGUGUUCAAAAUGGGGGUGGGAUAAAGAAGGAUUAAGGGCAUUGCAUGUUUUGCUGUAAUCGUUUUUUAAAUGUAAACCUUCACUGUAUAUUUUUAUCACAUCUCAUGUGCUAGGUACCUCACAUUUGAAAGAGGUAGGAUCAUUUAUUCACAGCAUUUGCUAAUAAUGUUAUGUGCACGCUACACAAAGCUCUUUUGGUUUCAUCGUGUCCCCUUACCUCCCAGCAGCUAUGAAGUGUGCAAAUUAUUGGGAAUGAAGUCAAAUGACAGUGCCAGCUCAAGGCCCCAUGAGCGACAGCUUGGACCAUACUGCAGUGCUUUCUGGGGAGCCUAAGAGAAGUUCUGCAAUGAAGAGGUCAUUGUCUCUCUGCUUCCUGGCUGGAGCUAUGACCACACUCUCUGAUCCAUCCUUCUGCUGUGAUGUGCUGCCUUCACCAGAGGUCCAAACAAAUGCGGACUUCAGAUCUUGGACUUAACCAUCCUGAACCAUGAGCCAAAACAAAUCCUCUGUACUUCAUAAAGAGCUUGUAUUAGGUAUUUUACUAAAAUGAUGGAAAGCUGAACAAUACUGUGUUUCUUUUUAAAGACUGCUAAAAGCAAGUCACCAGCUCUCAGCAAAGAUUCCUAAACUUAAAAUACUAACAAUACUAAAAUUUCUGGUGCCCAAGAUGAAGUCCUAUGUGGUUGUCAUCUUGAGAACCCUCAAUAAAUACUGCAGAAAGUAAUUAUUAUUAAGGACAAGACCGUGCUUGAUGUAAGAUGGUACUAUACUUGCAAGCUAGCAAGAUUUACACAUAUGAUAUAUGCAUAUAUGUGCACAUACAUAUUAGAGAGAGCUUUUACAACUCUGAAAUACAUAAAAGUCCACUCAUGGGAAAAGAGGUGAAGUCUCUAACUUGGAACAUGGGCAAUUUUCUCUGAGGUAGAUGAAAAUACAUCUUUACCCUUUAUCUCUUUGUUGCCCUUAGAAUGGGAACAAAUGGAUCCAAAUAAAAGGAGACUUGCUCUCUUUUUCUCAUGAGUCAGUUUCCAUUGCUCAGGUGGUUUUUCUGCUGAUCAAACAGAAACAUCAAAAAAAAAAAAUCAGGGACAGGACCAGGGAUUUAGCUCAGUAGUUCCGCCGCCUGCUUUGCAAGCACAAGGACCCGAGUUCAAUCCCUGGUACCAAAAAAAAAGCAAACAAACAAAAAAUCAGGGACAAUGGUGUUCCACCUUAAAUUAGCCAAAAAAGGAAUUACAACCCCAAGAACGUCUUUGGAUCGGGUGAUAUAACGUCAUCUGCUCACCUUUUCCAGCCUAAAAAAUUAUGAAUUUAUUGAUGCAGAGGAGUCCUCCUUCCAUAUGAUCUUCAGGACAAGUCCCCUUCUGUUGUUUCUCCACAAAGGAAGAGGAGGGGGCAGGGAACUUCCUCCAUGUGCACCUUUUAGAGUAGCAGUGCCCAACUUUUCUGGCACCAGGUACUCAUUUUUCCAUGGAUUGUAGGGGGAUGGUGUCCGGGAAGAUUCAAAGAAGUGGCAACCAAGACCCCUCAUAUGCGCAGUUCACAGUAGGUUUGUGUUCCUAUGAGAAUCUCAUGCCCCUCUGAUCUGACAGGAGGCAGAGUUCAAGUGGUGAUGCAGCUGCAAACAUGGAGGAAGCUAAGCUAGUCAGCUACUCAUCCACUGCUGUGUUGGAUGUGGUUCCUAACAGGUCAUGGACUGGUACCAUGUGGUAGUUCCAGGGCCUAGGGACCCCUCCUCUAGAACUUGGGGCUGUCCCUUGCCUCACCGGAUUGCUGAGAUGGAAGGAAACUCAGCCUGGUUCCAGUAGUCAGCCACGCUAGUCCUCAACAUCAAACCCCCUUUGAUCCCUGUUCCAGCACAGCCUGACUUGCCUGUAACAAAGCCAACCUCAGUAUUUAUGGUAAAUCAUGAUUCCAUAGUCACCAUCUUAUUCGUUACUCAUAACACUCCUAUGAAACUGGUAGAUCAGGGGCUACAAUCAUCCCUCUUCCAUAGAUUAAAAACAAAAUGUGGCUCCAAAAAAUAUGACAGGCCACACAGGUGAAUAGGAUUCAAGUCCUCUUCCCAUGUGCAGAUUCUGGGAGUUUUAUGCUGACAUAACCCUGCCUUCUCAUACAACUAAGCCUGAUACAACCAAAAUUUAUUAAAGUCUGGUAAACAACUGUGGCUUCUUCUUGUUCCUUUCAAAUCAUUAAAUAACAAAUAUGAUUAUUUUCCAAUGCACUGACUUGUUAUUUAUUGGUGUUGGGCUAUUUUUUGAAGAAUUUUAAACUUAAAUUAUACAAUAACUUUGGUAUUAUGAGGGC
RNAcentral lists this long non-coding RNA (2807 nucleotides) under Fukomys damarensis (Damara mole-rat). RNAcentral describes it as "lncRNA (ENSFDAG00000024468.1)". The record is from RNAcentral. Lineage: Eukaryota; Metazoa; Chordata; Mammalia; Rodentia; Bathyergidae.